GAUGAACGCUAGCGGCAGGCCUAAUACAUGCAAGCUGAACGGUAAAUGUUAUAGCAAUAUAAUAUGAGAGUAGCGUAAGGGUGCGUAACACGUAUGCAAUCUACCCGCAACAGGAGGAUAGCUCCCCGAAAGGGGAAUUAAUACUCCAUAAGAUCACGAGAGGGCAUCUGAUUGUGAUUAAACUCCAAGGGGUUGCGGAUGAGCAUGCGCAUGAUUAGUUAGUUGGCGGGGUAACGGCCCACCAAGACGAUGAUCAUUAGGGGAACUGAGAGGUUGAUCCCCCACACUGGCACUGAGAUACGGGCCAGACUCCUACGGGAGGCAGCAGUAGGGAAUAUUGGUCAAUGGGUGAAAGCCUGAACCAGCCAUGCCGCGUGCAGGAAGACGGCCUUCUGGGUUGUAAACUGCUUUUACCAGGGGAUAAAAUACCCGUGCGCGGGGAAUUGAAGGUACCUGGUGAAUAAGCCACGGCUAACUACGUGCCAGCCGCCGCUGUAACAC
This 501-nucleotide ribosomal RNA is filed under the name uncultured bacterium. Its description in RNAcentral is "bacterial SSU rRNA". It matches the Rfam family "Bacterial small subunit ribosomal RNA", at positions 28 to 526 of the family's 1533-position model. The record is from RNAcentral.